Molecule: transfer RNA, 70 nt
Filed under: Dipodomys ordii (Ord's kangaroo rat)
Lineage: Eukaryota; Metazoa; Chordata; Mammalia; Rodentia; Heteromyidae
Rfam family: tRNA
About the family: Transfer RNA (tRNA) molecules are approximately 80 nucleotides in length.
Source: Rfam by way of RNAcentral
GGGAAUGUGGCUUAAUGGUAGAGUGCUUGUUUUGAAUGCAUAAAGCCCUGGGUUCAAUUCCUCAGUACCA